RNAcentral lists this ribosomal RNA (170 nucleotides) under uncultured bacterium. RNAcentral describes it as "partial 16S ribosomal RNA". It matches the Rfam family "Bacterial small subunit ribosomal RNA", at positions 338 to 524 of the family's 1533-position model. The record is from RNAcentral.
CCUACGGGAGGCAGCAGUGGGGAAUUUUGGACAAUGGGGGCAACCCUGAUCCAGCCAUGGCCGCGUGAGUGAUGAAGGUCUUAGGAUUGUAAAGCUCUUUCACCGGGGAAGAUAAUGACGGUAUCCGGAGAAGAAGCCCCGGCUAACUUCGUGCCAGCAGCCGCGGUAAU